RNAcentral lists this unclassified non-coding RNA (397 nucleotides) under uncultured Sordariomycetes. RNAcentral's name for it is "partial contains 5.8S ribosomal RNA, internal transcribed spacer 2, and large subunit ribosomal RNA". The stretch from base 1 to 102 matches the Rfam family "5.8S ribosomal RNA", at positions 53 to 154 of the family's 154-position model. The record is from RNAcentral. Lineage: Eukaryota; Fungi; Ascomycota; Sordariomycetes.
AUGCGAUAAGUAAUGUGAAUUGCAGAAUUCAGUGAAUCAUCGAAUCUUUGAACGCACAUUGCGCCCGCUGGUAUUCCAGCGGGCAUGCCCGUUCGAGCGUCAUUUUAAUCUCUUCCCGGGAGGCUCUUCUAUUCUGUAGUGGAGUGUCCGCGGGGCGUUGGCACUAGGCCGCCUUUUUUUUUAGGCGGCCAGAGCCGAAAUGAAGUGGCGGACUCGCGGUGGCCCCUAGCGUAGUAGAAACAACCCUUCUCGCUUAGGAGAGCUGCAGCGGUGGACCACAGCCCUACAUGCUUUUUCUUUUUUUCUUUUUCUUUUUUUAAGGAAUGAAAAAAAAAAAAAAGCUAUACAUAAAAAAAAACUUGACCUCGGAUCGGGUAGGACUACCCGCUGAACUUAA